This is a long non-coding RNA of Mus spicilegus (steppe mouse), 435 nucleotides long. The record is from Ensembl. Lineage: Eukaryota; Metazoa; Chordata; Mammalia; Rodentia; Muridae.
AUGGAGCUUAUCAAAACUAAGUAUGUGAAACUUCACAUAUCAAAAUAUUUAUAAAUAAUCAGAAAGUAGAAUAAAAAAUAAUACAAUGGUAUUGUUAGAAGUGAUUUAAAAUUCUGUCAGAUAACCAAAGAAACUAAAAUUCAUCUAUCAAGGUGGCAUACACUCCGUAAUAUAUUCUAUAUUAUGUUAAGAGGCCAUUCUUAAAUGUGAUUUCUAAAAUUAACUAAAUCUGUUUUUAUUGAGAAGAAUUAGUUUGGAUUUGAAUGUUCUUUUUUUCCUUUUAGGCAAUAUGUCAGUAUUGAGCACACCCAGACACCAGAGCUCUGUCCGGAAAAACAGUGGCUCUUACAAGUAACCGGAACAUAGGUAGGUCACCUUUUCAUCCUGGUGCUGGAGUGGCAGUAUUACCAGAAUAAAAUCCUGAAAGGAAAUGCA